Seriola dumerili (greater amberjack) is the source of this 1301-nucleotide long non-coding RNA. RefSeq lists it as uncharacterized. Lineage: Eukaryota; Metazoa; Chordata; Actinopteri; Carangiformes; Carangidae. The transcript is spliced from 3 exons. The record is from RefSeq and is a predicted model, not a curated record.
GGAUUUCCGUGAACUCACCUAGGAAAAAACCUGUAAAAUUUAGCCAAUGGGAGCAACGUGUGGGCGGGGCUUGGUAUUGGAAUGAGAAAGAGAGAAAAGCAGUUUCUGUCGGACCGGUUAGUGACCCCGUGUGAAACAUCACGAAACAGUUUGUUUCACUUCAGAAGAAGAAAGAAGAUAAAACCAGAGAAGAAGAAGAAGUCUGAUUGUGUAGAGAAACCACAGAUUGAGGAAGAAGACGCAGAAACACCUCCUGCCUCUGAACAGCUCUCUUGCCCUGACUGAUUGGUUGAUUGGUCAGUUUUAGCCCCGCCCUCCUGUGACGCUCCAUCAUGUCAUCAAACAUCAACGUCUCCCUGGACAACCCAUACGGUCAGGUGACCAUCCCACGGGCUAAGCUCCACCACCCUGAUGACACUGCCACAGUGAUAGCCAAUCCGGUGGCUCUGAGCGGUAAUGACGGGAACCCAUAUGGUGUGUCGAGCUCCGCCCCCCCACCACCUUAUAUGGUGAAGGAAGAUGGAGGGGGGGAGGAGGAGGGAGGAGGGAAGUGCCGUGCUUGUUGCUAUCGCUGCAGGAGGAGGAAGUGAUCUCACUGUGGCAUGAGUUGGCAUCACAGUGACAGGACGUGAUGUCACAGCAUCAGGAGGACUGUGAUUGGCUUGAAAUGUCAAAGGAUGGAAGGACAGGAAACAAAGACACAAUUCAAAAGGUGAAAAUGAAAGGAAGGAAGGAAGGAAGGGAGGAAGUUGUUUUAUCUGUGACGGCCAUUUUGUGUCAGUUAAACAUUAAAAAGCAAAACCUGUGUCAACUUCCUGUUUGUUAAAUCAAAACCUAAAAAUAUAAAAAUUAUUUAAAAAAUGAUUCAAGCUCAAAGUCCACUUACUGAAAUAUUUCUGAAGCUCAGCGGGUUCCACUCUGAAGAAGGCCAUGGGAUCCAGCUGAAAGCUACAAGAAUUACUAGGAGUUGAUGCUUUAUACAAACAUAUGAUCAUGAGAAUAUAUAAUGAUAAUAAUUAUGAUAUGAUCUAAAGCUGGUUUUGUUACAUUUUUACAUUGAAAAAAGAGAAAAGUUUAUUUUUGAUGUUUCAAAACCGAAAAAACUGACAGAAAAAGAUCAAUAAUCAAUGACAUAUUUAUUGAUCUGUGAGCAGAUUAGACAUAAAAUGGCCGCUGCAUGAUGUAACAUGGAUUUCAUCGUUAAUGUGGAAGUGACUCCAUUAAACUAAAUAUUCAGUUUUUUUUACUGUUCACAUGAAUGAAUGAACAAACGGAUGAAAUAAUGAAUGAAUGAAUGAAUG